UAAUUUAGUUAGAAAUCGAUGGACUUGAUGCAAAUGUAAUAUAUGUCUGAUGAAUCAAAAAAGGGUCUUGCUCUUAUUUCAAAUAGAAUCCUUGGCUUCCAUCAGUAAAAGUCUCUCUUUAAGAUAAAGUAGGCUUCUUCUUGUACUUCAAUUAGAAAUUUGAAUUUCAUUAAUCUCAAAGGCUUCUUUCUAUAAAGGAGUCCUAGGUUCUAUAUGUAAGAGGUCAUGGACAGAGCUUCAACCCUUCUUUUAC
RNAcentral lists this long non-coding RNA (253 nucleotides) under Phoenix dactylifera (date palm). RNAcentral's name for it is "long non-coding RNA (PDAC_LNC009590)". The record is from RNAcentral. Lineage: Eukaryota; Viridiplantae; Streptophyta; Magnoliopsida; Arecales; Arecaceae.